RNAcentral lists this ribosomal RNA (497 nucleotides) under uncultured bacterium. RNAcentral's name for it is "partial 16S ribosomal RNA". It matches the Rfam family "Bacterial small subunit ribosomal RNA", at positions 28 to 507 of the family's 1533-position model. The record is from RNAcentral.
GAUGAACGCUGGCGGCGUGCCUAAUACAUGCAAGUCGAGCGAACAGACGAGGAGCUUGCUCCUCUGACGUUAGCGGCGGACGGGUGAGUAACACGUGGAUAACCUACCUAUAAGACUGGGAUAACUUCGGGAAACCGGAGCUAAUACCGGAUAAUAUAUUGAACCGCAUGGUUCAAUAGUGAAAGACGGGUUUGCUGUCACUUAUAGAUGGAUCCGCGCCGCAUUAGCUAGUUGGUAAGGUAACGGCUUACCAAGGCAACGAUGCGUAGCCGACCUGAGAGGGUGGUCGGCCACACUGGAACUGAGACACGGUCCAGGCUCCUACGGGAGGCAGCAGUAGGGAAUCUUCCGCAAUGGGCGAAAGCCUGACGGAGCAACGCCGCGUGAGUGAUGAAGGUCUUCGGAUCGUAAAACUCUGUUAUUAGGGAAGAACAAAUGUGUAAGUAACUAUGCACGUCUUGACGGUACCUAAUCAGAAAGCCACGGCUAACUACGUG